CAUUAGAUGACUGAAAGCAAGUACUGGUCUCUUAAACCAUUCUAUAGUAAUUAGCACCUACUUCUAAUGA
This 70-nucleotide transfer RNA is filed under the name Nigidionus parryi. RNAcentral's name for it is "tRNA-Lys". Lineage: Eukaryota; Metazoa; Arthropoda; Insecta; Coleoptera; Lucanidae. The record is from RNAcentral.